UACAAGAUGUGUCAGCCCCAUCUUGUAAAUUCUGUUUCAGCAUUUCUCUGAGAAUUUCUGGCUCCUUUAAGUGGAGAAUGGUGUUAGAAACCAAGGUGUAGGUGCUGGAUGGGCUCAUUGUUUCUAGGUGUCAUUGCUUCCAGGCCCUGUCAGUGCAUAUAGGAAAUAUGUAUAAAUACUAACCCACACAUGCACACAAGUCUAAAAUUAUUUCUGUAUCUACCCAUCCCUAUAUCAAGCUAAACAUGCAUUUAUACUAAUGGAUCUGACUCUAAUCUACUGGCCCUUUAUUUUUAAUAAUGUAUUUUUUUCUGGUACCAGGAAUCAAACUCAGGACCUUACGCUUGCCAGGCAGGUGUGGUGCCACUGAGCUACAUCCCCAGCCCCAUUUUGGGGGGUGGUGCUGGGGAUUGAACUUGGGUCCUUGUGCUUGUGAGAGAGGAGAGACAACCACCAGACUCCGGAGGAUAAAAAAUGGUGAUGUUCGCUGCCUGCUGUUUGCUGCCUUCUGCCUGCUUUGCCAUGGACUGUUUAUCCUCUCGUAUAUCCCUCUGCCAUGCCACCCUGCUUUGGAACCAGCCAAUUGUGGACUGAAACCUCUAGAAACUGUGAGCUGAAACAAAUGUUUCCUCCUGAAAAAAAAAAUGUGGUGCUUGCUGCACAUUGCUCUUGCCACUAACCAUUGAUGAGAGAAGGCAAUGAGUGUAGAAGAUGAAUUGAUGAUCUGCUUGUCAAUUAUGCCCGUUUAAUGCCAGAGCUCACCUUCUAGAAUAAAGACUUUCACAUCACAGGUUUCAUAUCUAUAAUAGCUAUUG
This 815-nucleotide long non-coding RNA is filed under the name Fukomys damarensis (Damara mole-rat). Its description in RNAcentral is "lncRNA (ENSFDAG00000026319.1)". Lineage: Eukaryota; Metazoa; Chordata; Mammalia; Rodentia; Bathyergidae. The record is from RNAcentral.